RNAcentral lists this long non-coding RNA (5493 nucleotides) under Homo sapiens (human). RNAcentral's name for it is "HSALNT0115075". Lineage: Eukaryota; Metazoa; Chordata; Mammalia; Primates; Hominidae. The record is from RNAcentral.
CAUUUGUUCAUGUAUUUUGCUUUGAGAAGGUUAGACAUGAAGAGGGCAAGCCAGUGAUUAGUCACAGUGACAGCUACUGGUCACUAUAUGAUACGCGCUUUGCAUGCACUAUUUUAUUUAAUCCAAACAAAUUGUUAUUAGUAUUAUCACUAUUUUGCAGAUUAACUAAGGUGUACCAAGGUUAAGUAAUUUGCUUAUUUGCCUAGGAGGCUGUAAGUUGUAGGUUCAGGUCCCAAACCUAGACUUUUUUUUUUUUUUUUUUUUGAGAUGGAGUCUUGCUCUGUUGCCCAGGCUGGAGUGUAAUGGCUCAAUCUCGGCUCACUGCAACCUCUACCUCCUGGGUUCAAGCGAUUCCCCUGCCUCAGCCUCCCGAGUAGCUGGGAUUACAGGUGCCUGCCACUGUGCCCAGCUAAAUUUUGUAUUUUUAGUAGAGAUGGGGUUUCAACAUCUUGGCCAGGCUGGUCUCAAACUUCUGACCUCGUGAUCCACCUGCCUCGGCCUCCCAAAGUGCUGGGAUUACAGGCGUGAGCCACCGUGCCCGGCCAACACAGACCUCUUUAAAACCAAAUUCUCUACCAGCUUCCUACAAAAUUUGUAUGGCAUCAAUGGGUACACAUACUACCAUCUGAUCACUCAUAUCCAACUGAAAUAGGCAUUCUGAUCACGAAAUUUUUUUGUUGUAGUCAUUGACUAUAUUUAUGAAUUCAUACAUGAUCAUUCUUCAACUAAGUAUGAACUAACUCCUGAUUUCUUGUUCUAGUUAGGGCUUAAGAAAUUUAUUUCCUUCUAAAUCCAGGGAACUGACUCAGUCAGUAGAACCUUUGUUGAAAACUAACUUCCAAAUAUGCUGGUGUGAUUUUGGACAUUAAAGGAAAACAUUUCUUUAGUUUUUCCUGUGAGGUGGAUUCUAGACACCAGAGUAGAAGUAGCGAGGCUUGCAGGAGUCUGGAAGGACAGGGUGUGCCAAUAUCAGUCUUUUUUAUCAAGCUUAGCAGGCUCUAUUUUUAGUCUGAUCUACUCUGUGGCCAGGCCAGGUCUGGAGAUUAUAUGGUGGAACUGUUUUUAGCUGUAGGGAUCUUGCCAACUGGUAGAACUAGAGGAGAAACAUCUCCUUUGUGUAGGCUCAUUCUAUACCAUUUGCUCUCAUUUAUUCAUUCAUUCUGCAUUCAUUAAAAGCCUUCUUCCAUGUGCCAGACACUGAGCUAAGUGCUGAUAAUCCUUUUAUUUGUAAAUAAAUACCACCCCCCUCAAGAUAAGCUAAGGCCAAGAAUACCAGCUUUAUAGCUUAAAUCACUGAAUUCUCACAACCACCACAUAAGUUGGUGCUAUUAUUAUCCCCAUUUUACAAAUGAGGGAGCUAAGGCAUCAACAAUGAAGUGAGGGCCAGGCACGGUGGCUCAGGCCUGUGAUACCAGCACUUUGGAAGGCAGAGGUGGGCAAAUUGCUUGAUCCCAGGAGUUCGAGACCAGCCUGGGCAACAUGGCGAGACCUUGUCUCUACAAAAAAUUAUUAGCCAGUUGUGGCAUGCACCUGCAGUCCCAGCUACUCGGGAGGCUGAAGUAGGAGAAUCACCUGAGCCCAGAAAGUUGAGGCUGUUAUGAGCCAUGAUCAGGCUACUGCACUCCAGCCUGGGUGACAGUGUAAGGGCCUAUCUCAAAAAAAAAAAAGAGAAGUGAGGCUGGGCACAGUGGCUCAUGCCUAUAAUCCCAAUACUUAGGGAGGCUAAAGCAGAAGGAUCACUUGAGUCUGGGAGGUAGAGGCUUCAGUGAGCUCUUAAACUGUACUCCAGCUUGGGUGGCAAAGUAAGAUCCUGUCUUAAAAAAAAAAAAAAAAAAGACUGAAGUGACUUGUCUAAGAUUGUUAAGUGGUAGAGCUAGCAAAUAACCCCAGACAGGACAGCCCCAGAGCCUGUGGUUCUAUCCACUAUGGUACUCUACUUCUACAAAAUGUAAAUGAGACAGUUUUUGAACGAGUAAGUCUGGGUAGACAGACAUUUAAAUGGGAAAAAAUGCAACAAAGUGUUAUACUUACUAUGAUAGAAUUAUAGAUGAAGCAUAGUUGUAUUAAUAAAAUAGGUGGUCCAUCUACCUGGUCUGUAGGAUUUUUGCCUGAGUGAUUUUGAUGUAUGAUAGAGACUGUUGGGUGGCUGAAGGAGGUAAGUUUAUUUUUUGACAUUUUCAGAUUGAGAUGCCUAUCAGCGAUCAGGUGGAAUUUUCUCUUAGGCUUUUGGAUUAGCUGGGCCUAAAUAUGUGGGAGCCUUUAGCAUAAAGGUGGUAGCUGCAGUCACAAUAGGGGUUAGGACAGCCAGAGAGAAAGGAAGAAGAAAGGUGAGCCAGGAACGAGGUCCUGGGAAACACCAGCAUUUAGAGGGCAGACAAAAGCAGAGGACCAAAAAAAAACAGAAGAAGACCAGUCAGAGAAAUAGGAGGACAACCGCUAUAGUAGGGAGUGGGCUUUUGGAAGCUGAGGAAAGAGACGUCCAAGAAGAAAGUCCUCAGCUGAAUCAAAUGCUAAGGAAAUGUCAAGUGAGGUGAAGCCUGGAGAGCCCCCUGGAUUUAGCAAUUGGUAAUUCAUUUAUGGGAGUACAGAAGAUGGAGGAUGCUACUUUGUUUCUUUACACAUUAAGAAAUCUGAACAUGAUCACAGUCAGGAGAAUGAGCCAGUAAAGAAACAGAGAUGAAAAACACGGGAGAGCUAGGAGAUGAUGAGAAAUGAACCUGAGGAAAUCAGGGGCUUUAGCCAGAUCAGGGAGAGACCUUGGAAAGAGGCGACACCUCUUCCUUUAGUACUGGAGGGGAGGAAGAGGGGUGAAUGCAACCAGAUGAGUUUUUACAUUUGGGGGGCAGGUAGCUGAGGAAGUUCACUCCAGACAGUCUUGAUUUACUGGGCUUAAAACUGGUCCCAGGUAUAGCUGGCCGCCUCUUGAAGACAAGAGGACCUGGAGCUGAUGACACACUCACGGCACUUGAACUCUGGUGUAUUUUUAGAAUCCCAGGUAAAACUCCUGAACAAGAUUCUCAAGAACAGUUUGAAAGUGUCUGGUUGCCGGAGGAGGGGAUGGGAAAGCUGCUUUAGAGACUGUUAGGUAUCAAACAAAGUUCUGGAAGAGGCCAGCAUUCCUCCAGAGAAUUGUGAAAGAUACAAAUCGGUGAUAACCCUAUGGACUGGAAUUGGAUUCUACGGCUGUCUCAUUCCAUACACAGCAGUUCUGGAGGUGUCAAGAUGGCUGCCUGGUCUCUCCAUGCCAGCAGUUUGGGGCUUCAGUAGCUACUACUGCCUCCUAGUCUCCACCUGAUGAAAGAAGUUCUGACAAGGCUAAGUGGCCCCAAGGUGUCAUUCUCCCUCCACCUUCCUAUAAGUUGCAUAUGUUACAAAGGAACAGGACAAAAAAAGAGACUUUGGUCAAUACCCACAGAAAACCCCAGGAACCCCAAAUCAUUUCUCAUGAAUUGGACCGCAACACCCAGCCCCAGUCCGGGGGACUUGCUUAAAGAUGAGCAUCAGCAUUUAGGCUAAAGGGUUAUGAAGCUGUGGUUGAAGAUGCCAAUCCCAAUGCCGGGGCUCAGGUUUAGCUAUGGUAACAAUAAAACAGACGAGAUCUGGGAAAAUGUUCUAUUUGCUAAGUCAGAUAUGAGGCUGCUGAACUGUCUGAUCUGAUUCCUGUUUAAUGCUUUUAUGACAAGGAAAAUGAAAUCUCCCAAAAGUACUUGCCAGAAUAUUGAAAAUUAUUCUUGACUUUUAAUAUUUAGUUGGCUUAGUUUGGAUAAUUUGAGAUUUACAACUUUCUAGCUCCUUCUAAAACACACCAUGAUGCUAUUCUCAGUAACCAGCUAGGGUGAUGAAUUAUGUAUUCUGUUCAUAUGAAUGGGGGUGACAUUUAAAAUAUGUAACAGGCUGGGCACAGUGGUUCACACCUGUAAUCCCAGCAUGGUGGGAGGCUGAGGCAGGAGGAUCACUUGAGGUCAGAAGUUUUGAGACCAGCCUGGCCAACAUGGCAAAACCCCAUCUCUGCUAAAAAUACAAAAAUUAGCCAGGUGUGGUGGCAUGCACCUGUAAUCCCAGCUACUAGGGAGGCUGAGGCAGGGGAAUCGUUUGAACCCGGGAAGCAGAGGCUGCAGUGAGCUGAGAUCGCGCCGCUGUACUCCAACCUGGACAACAGAGUGAGACUCGAUGUCUCAAAAACAAAACAAAACAAAAAUAUGUAACAACCAGAAUAGGCAACAGCCAACUAGAGCUGAGACUCUCUGGAUACAUAUGUGUGGGGAGGCAAGAGGCAGGCUGGUUUCCCUCUUCCCUUGAUAGGGGACAGGGCCCCUUUUAUUCAAAUAUCUUGGGACAGGCUAAGUCCAGGAGGCCAGCAGACCAAGGGGGUCACCCAGGUACUUGACAUCUGGAGUAUUCUUAGCUAUCUAUUGUUUAAACAUUAUAUUUUAAUAUUGUCCUGAUAUUAUAAAUAGGGUAAAAAGAAAGUUUUCUCAAUGUUUAUAACUUAAGCUUAUAUUUUGUUCUUCUAAAGCUUCUUUUACUAGUUUGUGGGAUUUAAGACUAAAGCCUGCCUUUCUAAAGGAUGGUUUCCAAAGUCUUUUCUUCCUAGUUAAAAUCAACCAAAAUUAAAGAAAUUAUUGUAUUCUUCUUCCACUUAGUAAAUAUUCUACUUCCUACACCCUUCCCUCAUUUCUGUUGUUUUCUGUCUUUGUCACUAGGGCACUUGGAAAGAGAACUAGGUAUUCUAAGACCUUUACUCUUCUUUCAUCGUAAAUAACUGAGUAAUAACUGCCAUCGUUUCUAUAUUUGGCUCAUCAUAUGAGCCACACAGUGCAUUCAAUGCUUGAGAUUAAUUAUCCCAUAUAUUCUUCUCAGCAACCCUAUGAGGCAGGUAUUGUUACUAUCCUCAUCUUACGAAUGAGGAAACUGAGAUCCAGAGAGAUAAGAUAGCCUGCUCAAGGUCAUACAGUUUAGUGGGUAAGUGAGAAUUUUUUUUUUUUUUUUUUGAGACGGUCUCACUCUGUCACCCAGGCUGGAGUGCAGUGGCACAAUCUUAUCUCACUGCAGCCUCGACCUCCCAGGCUCAAGUGAUCCUCCCACCUCAGCCUCCCUGGGACUACAGGCGAAUGUCACCACACUUGGCUAAUUUUUGUAUUUUUUGUAGAGACAGGAUUUUGCCAUAUUGCCCAGGCCGGUCUUGAACUCCUGAGCUCAAGCGAUCCUCCUGCCUUGGCCUCCCAAAGUGCUGGGAUUACAGGCGUGAGCCACUGUGCCCAGCUUUGAGCAAGGAUUUGAAUUGUGGCAUCUGACUCUAAAGCUUGUGUUCUCCCACCAUGCCACAAGUAUGACAUUUUCCACAGGUGUCACACCUGGAAGGGUGUAUAGAAAAGGCAGCUGAGGUCCAAAGAUGGAAGGUUACUAUCAGGAGCCCCAAGACGCAGUGCAAUACAAGCAACGAGGAGACAGUUCUUUCGGUCCACUGACGGACUCCUCCUGUCCUGAGCUCUC